RNAcentral lists this unclassified non-coding RNA (18 nucleotides) under Dictyostelium discoideum. The record is from RNAcentral. Lineage: Eukaryota; Evosea; Eumycetozoa; Dictyosteliales; Dictyosteliaceae.
UAGGAUUCCGUCAGUAAC